RNAcentral lists this ribosomal RNA (730 nucleotides) under uncultured bacterium. RNAcentral's name for it is "bacterial SSU rRNA". It matches the Rfam family "Bacterial small subunit ribosomal RNA", at positions 13 to 724 of the family's 1533-position model. The record is from RNAcentral.
GUGAUGCUGGCUCAGGACGAACGCUGGCGGCAUGCCUAAUACAUGCAAGUCGAACGAUGAAGCACUCUGCUUGCAGAGUGCGGAAGAGUGGCGAACGGGUGAGUAACACGUGGGGAACCUCCCCAUAAGAGGGGGAUAACAUCCGGAAACGGGUGCUAAUACCGCAUAGGUGAUUUUAGCGCAUGCUUUAAUCAUUAAAGAUGGCUUCGGCUAUCGCUUAUGGAUGGCCCCGCGGCGUAUUAGCUAGUUGGUAAGGUAAUAGCUUACCAAGGCAUUGAUACGUAGCCGACCUGAGAGGGUGAUCGGCCACGCUGGGACUGAGACACGGCCCAGACUCCUACGGGAGGCAGCAGUAGGGAAUCUUCCACAAUGGGCGAAAGCCUGAUGGAGCAAUGCCGCGUGAGUGAAGAAGGUCUUCGGAUCGUAAAGCUCUGUUGUUAGAGAAGAACAAGAGGUGUGGUAACUGGCACCUCCUUGACGGUAUCUAACCAGAAAGUCACGGCUAACUACGUGCCAGCAGCCGCGGUAAUACGUAGGUGACAAGCGUUGUCCGGAUUUAUUGGGCGUAAAGCGAGCGCAGGCGGUCUUUUAAGUCUGAUGUGAAGGCCCACGGCUCAACCGUGGAGGGUCAUUGGAAACUGGAAGACUUGAAUGCAGAAGAGGAAAGUGGAAUUCCAUGUGUAGCGGUGAAAUGCGUAGAUAUAUGGAGGAACACCAGUGGCCAAGGCGA